UACGGAGGGUGCUAGCGUUGUUCGGAAUUACUGGGCGUAAAGAGCGUGUAGGCGGCCAGGUAGGUCUGCUGUGAAAACUCGAGGCUCAACCUCGAGACGUCGGCGGAAACCAUCUGGCUAGAGUCCGGAAGAGGAGAGUGGAAUUCCUGGUGUAGCGGUGAAAUGCGCAGAUAUCAGGAAGAACACCCGUGGCGAAGGCGGCUCUCUGGGACGGUACUGACGCUGAGACGCGAAAGCGUGGGGAGCGAACAGG
Molecule: ribosomal RNA, 253 nt
Filed under: uncultured bacterium
Lineage: Bacteria
Description: partial 16S ribosomal RNA
Rfam family: Bacterial small subunit ribosomal RNA
Source: RNAcentral